This 201-nucleotide small nucleolar RNA is filed under the name Eremothecium gossypii ATCC 10895. Lineage: Eukaryota; Fungi; Ascomycota; Saccharomycetes; Saccharomycetales; Saccharomycetaceae. The record is from RNAcentral.
UUGCCCUGUGCCUCGCUCGGCGGGUACCCUCCAUGUACCCGUCUUGAGCUGGAUGUUCGCCUCUGCCUCAGUGCAGUAGAGCCGAAGCCUUUGGCUUCGGUUUUCCUGGCGUUCAAUGGGCUAUAUGAAACUUGAGUUCUUUUGAGUACCAAAUACCUCUUUAAAACGUGGUAUAUUGCGUAAUUAGUAACUCGCACAUGC